GACGAACGCUGGCGGCGUGCUUAACACAUGCAAGUCGAACGGAAAGGCCUUUUCGGAGGUACUCGAGUGGCGAACGGGUGAGUGACACGUGGGUGAUCUGCCCUGCACUCUGGGAUAAGCCUGGGAAACUGGGUCUAAUACCGGAUAGGACCGCACUUUAGUGUGUGUGGUGGAAAGUUUUUUCGGUGUAGGAUGAGCCCGCGGCCUAUCAGCUUGUUGGUGGGGUAAUGGCCUACCAAGGCGGCGACGGGUAGCCGGACUGAGAGGUUGGUCGGCCACAUUGGGACUGAGAUACGGCCCAGACUCCUACGGGAGGCAGCAGUGGGGAAUAUUGCACAAUGGGCGCAAGCCUGAUGCAGCGACGCCGCGUGGGGGAUGACGGCCUUCGGGUUGUAAACUCCUUUCGCCAGGGACGAAGCGUUUUGUGACGGUACCUGGAGAAGAAGCACCGGCUAACUACGUG
Molecule: ribosomal RNA, 463 nt
Filed under: uncultured bacterium
Lineage: Bacteria
Description: partial 16S ribosomal RNA
Rfam family: Bacterial small subunit ribosomal RNA
Source: RNAcentral